GUAGGUGGCAAGCGUUGUCCGGAAUUAUUGGGGCGUAAAAGCGCGCGCAGGCGGUCCUUUAAGUCUGAUGUGAAAGCCCACGGCUCAACCGUGGAGGGUCAUUGGAAACUGGGGGACUUGAGUACAGAAGAGGAAAGCGGAAUUCCAAGUGUAGCGGUGAAAUGCGUAGAGAUUUGGAGGAACACCAGUGGCGAAGGCGGCUUUCUGGUCUGUAACUGACGCUGAGGCGCGAAAGCGUGGGGAGCAAACAGGAUUAGAUACCCUGGUAGUCCACGCCGUAAACGAUGAGUGCUAAGUGUUAGGGGGUUUCCGCCCCUUAGUGCUGCAGCUAACGCAUUAAGCACUCCGCCUGGGGAGUACGGCCGCAAGGCUG
RNAcentral lists this ribosomal RNA (373 nucleotides) under uncultured organism. RNAcentral describes it as "partial 16S ribosomal RNA". It matches the Rfam family "Bacterial small subunit ribosomal RNA", at positions 527 to 896 of the family's 1533-position model. The record is from RNAcentral.